This 700-nucleotide ribosomal RNA is filed under the name uncultured bacterium. RNAcentral's name for it is "bacterial SSU rRNA". It matches the Rfam family "Bacterial small subunit ribosomal RNA", at positions 94 to 823 of the family's 1533-position model. The record is from RNAcentral.
AGUGGCGGACGGGUGAGUAACACGUAAGAAUUUGCCUUUAGGAGGGGGACAACAACUGGAAACGGUUGCUAAUACCCCAUAUGCUUUCGAGUGAAACGGAUUUUUCCGCCUAAAGAGAAGCUUGCGGCUGAUUAGCUUGUUGGUGAGGUAAUGGCUCACCAAGGCGACGAUCAGUAUCUGGUUUGAGAGGACGAUCAGACACACUGGAACCGAGACACGGUCCAGACUCCUACGGGAGGCAGCAGUGGGGAAUUUUCCGCAAUGGGCGAAAGCCUGACGGAGCAAUACCGCGUGAGGGAUGACGGCCUAUGGGUUGUAAACCUCUUUUUUCAGGGAGGAAUCAAAUGACGUGUACCUGAAGAAUAAGCAUCGGCUAACUCCGUGCCAGCAGCCGCGGUAAGACGGGGGAUGCAAGUGUUAUCCGGAAUCACUGGGCGUAAAGCGUCUGUAGGUGGUCAAAUAAGUCAACUGUUAAAUCUUGAGGCUCAACCUCAAAAUCGCAGUCGAAACUAUUAGACUAGAGUAUAGUAGGGGUAAAGGGAAUUUCCAGUGGAGCGGUGAAAUGCGUAGAGAUUGGAAAGAACACCGAUGGCGAAGGCACUUUACUGGGCUAUUACUAACACUCAGAGACGAAAGCUAGGGUAGCAAAUGGGAUUAGAUACCCCAGUAGUCCUAGCCGUAAACAAUGGAUACUAGAUGU